Molecule: long non-coding RNA, 330 nt
Filed under: Brassica napus (rape)
Lineage: Eukaryota; Viridiplantae; Streptophyta; Magnoliopsida; Brassicales; Brassicaceae
Description: long non-coding RNA (BNAP_LNC024087)
Source: RNAcentral
CUUGGGCAGUUGAAUGCAGACAGCUCAUAGGGUAAGCUUUGUCGUUUUCGAUAUAGAGAAUUCUUAGUUAUUUGACUUUGUGGAAAGCUAAAAGUUUGGCCUUCAUUUUUGGUUUGAGAGCGAGAUGAUGUUUUCUAUUUGUUAUUCCAAAGUACAGAGGCAAAUCAAUCUUACAAUAUAUUUGUUUUACUUCACACUUGUACAUAACUUAUAAACUUUUAUAAAUCAUACUUGAUUUAUAAACUCUUAUAAAAAGUUACGAGAUAAUUAUGUUUUUUUUUCUCACAACUUAACCGAUGUAGUUUGAUAGAGGCUUGUUUGAGCAAUCUC